GUGAAUCAUCAAAUCUUUGAACGCAAAUUGCACUCUCUGCGGAGAGUAUGCCUGUUUGAGGGUCAGCCUAAAAAAAAUCGACAUCGUUGCUGUUACGCGUUAUCAUUCGUCGGAAAUUGGGUCAUCUUAAACCUUUGGGUUGAAGCGGAUUAAACAUUUCUUGACGAUUCCACGAACGUUUCUAAGAUUUUAUUUUCUUAUACGUUUAAGGUAUCGAUCUUUAUUAGACGUGGUCGUUGCAUCGGAUCUC
Molecule: unclassified non-coding RNA, 250 nt
Filed under: Glomus sp.
Lineage: Eukaryota; Fungi; Glomeromycota; Glomeromycetes; Glomerales; Glomeraceae
Description: partial contains 5.8S ribosomal RNA and internal transcribed spacer 2
Rfam family: 5.8S ribosomal RNA (bases 1-65)
Source: RNAcentral